CGGCGGACGGGUUAGUAACGCGUGGGAACGUACCCAGAUCUAAGGAAUAGCCACUGGAAACGGUGAGUAAUACCUUAUACGCCCUUCGGGGGAAAGAUUUAUCGGAUUUGGAUCGGCCCGCGUUAGAUUAGAUAGUUGGUGGGGUAAUGGCCUACCAAGUCUACGAUCUAUAGCUGGUUUUAGAGGAUGAUCAGCAACACUGGGACUGAGACACGGCCCAGACUCCUACGGGAGGCAGCAGUGGGGAAUCUUGGACAAUGGGCGCAAGCCUGAUCCAGCCAUGCCGCGUGAGUGAUGAAGGCCUUAGGGUCGUAAAGCUCUUUCGCCAGAGAUGAUAAUGACAGUAUCUGGUAAAGAAACCCCGGCUAACUCCGUGCCAGCAGCCGCGGUAAUACGGAGGGGGUUAGCGUUGUUCGGAAUUACUGGGCGUAAAGCGUACGUAGGCGGAUUAGUCAGUCAGAGGUGAAAUCCCAGGGCUCAACCCUGGAACUGCCUUUGAUACUGCUAGUCUUGAGUUCGAGAGAGGUGAGUGGAAUUCCAAGUGUAGAGGUGAAAUUCGUAGAUAUUUGGAGGAACACCAGUGGCAAAGGCGGCUCACUGGCUCGAUACUGACGCUGAGGUACGAAAGUGUGGGGAGCAAACAGGAUUAGAUACCCUGGUAGUCCACACCG
Molecule: ribosomal RNA, 671 nt
Filed under: uncultured bacterium
Lineage: Bacteria
Description: bacterial SSU rRNA
Rfam family: Bacterial small subunit ribosomal RNA
Source: RNAcentral